Drosophila hydei is the source of this 1363-nucleotide long non-coding RNA. RefSeq lists it as uncharacterized. The record is from RefSeq and is a predicted model, not a curated record. The transcript is spliced from 3 exons. NCBI's taxonomy places the organism in Eukaryota, Metazoa, Arthropoda, Insecta, Diptera, Drosophilidae.
ACUUAACAUCGAUUUUUUUUAAAGUGUAUUUCCAGUUUAGCAACACAAUUGAACUCGAAUUUCGCAUUUGGUUUGACAUUCGGUGAGUUCAACGACAAAUGGAAAUUUUUGUUCGAUUUUUGUCUAUGUAAGAUCUCAACAGAUAUACUAUAACUAACAUAUGCGCCGUUGAUAUAGGAAAAUGGACUACGUAGUUUAAAAUUUGGAGUAUUUUAAUUGCAACAGAGCGAGAUAAGCGUCCGGGUUCAUUGACAUAGCUAGAUGAGAUUCUAUAAUACCAGACGUUACCAGAUAAUAGCAAAUACUACUAAUUAUACCUGAUUAAAACCCAUAGAAAUUCGCAUGGAACGAAUUAGUCAGCAAAGGGCACUUGAAAAAUGAAAGCCAAAAUACUUGUGUAAUGAUUUAUCAAGGCCUUGUCCUAUUGAUUAUAGCUUAGUAUGCUACAAAUAAGUAUAUAUGCAUGGAUGUAUGUAUAGGAUUACCUAAGCGAUAUUCUGUUUUAUAUCAGUGUACGUAACAGCUGUUUUUCUACUUGUUUUUCAAGAGAAAUUAACACUCAAAGUAGACAACUCUUUGAAAACAUGUCCACUCGGUAUUUGCAUUUCAUUUGGAAAUACUACACCCUGGUAGGCACAUAUAAUACAUUCGAUACCCUUACUAACCGAUUCUCUAUCCAUGUGGCUUUUAUUCACCAUUUGCCUGGAAUACAGAAUGUUGUUCUGCUUCUUUUUAUCUCAGUAGAAAAAGCACAGCCGGCGGACUGGCGAAGACUGUCACAACAACAAAUAAAAAUCAGGCAUGAAAUUGAGCAUAAGAAAGAGAGAGAGAUAAGGCAUUGUGGUGUGAGUGUGUGUUCCAGCUCUGACUGAACAGGAGCGGAUUUUUCAAGUCAAAGCUACAGCAUGCUUUUUGAUGGCGCAGCAAAAAUUCUGAGCGCUGCAGCUUACGGGUUAAGCAAUAUUUAUGUCGCCUCUCUGUCUCUCUUCGUUAAGUAUUCAUAUGUGAGGGUAUGUGUGAGAGAGCCUGCACGUGUUUUUCAUAUAACACUAUUUCUGGGGUUUUGGUGCUUCGUUUUCGCUUGUUUAUUCGUAUUCUCGAAUUGCUUCGGCUGGCGCGCCGCAAUGGAAAGUUUUACGGCUAUCCGAAAACUAGGAGACACUGCAAACUUAACGCUGAAAGCUAUUUGAGGCAAUGCAAUUGUUGUUAAUAAAUAAAAUUUGGCAAAGAUUUAAUUGCCAAGGCGAAGGCUAAACAAACAAAAAGUCGCGACGCCCCUUACGUAAGAAUCAACAAACUGUUAAUAGCUACUUAGUAUAGCCACAUAUGAUAUUUAUAUACUAUAUACAUAUAUUUUUAUAUA